AUGGCGAGCUUUUUCCUCCUCCUCCUCCCAUCCCGAUACGAAACUAAUGCCGCCGCCGUCGCCGCCGUUUUAUUGGGCCUGUUCGCUGCCGUUCCUUUUGUUUCCCCUCCUCUUCUUCUCCGGCGUGAUCCUGGACCGAGUGCGGCGGGCACGGGUGAUCGGAGAAAGCGCCGAGGCUGGCACGGGCGAAAAGGCUCCGAUCUGGUCGGCACCGCUGUUGUCACCGGGCAGAAUGGCCGGCUGGCCAUGGGCAGGCUCGGAGCUCUCUGCGAGCAGGUGAAGGAGCUUAAUUUCCAGGGGUAUGAGGUGAUUCUGGUCACCUCUGGCGCCGUUGGCGUCGGCAGGCAGAGGCUCAAGUACCGGAAGCUUAUCAACAGCAGUUUCGCCGAUCUGCAGAACCCACAGUUGGACCUGGAUGGGAAGGCCUGCGCUGCCGUCGGCCAGAGUGGCCUAAUGGCUAUCUACGAUACGCUGUUUAGCCAACUUGAUGUGACAUCGUCUCAGCUUCUUGUUACGGAUCGUGAUUUCCGGGAUCCAAGUUUUGGGCACCAGCUUCGUGAGACUGUUGUCUCCCUGUUAGAUCUUAAGGUGAUACCGGUGUUCAACGAGAACGAUGCUAUCAGUACGAGGAGAGCGCCAUAUGAGGAUUCAUCUGGUAUAUUCUGGGAUAACGACAGUUUGGCGACGCUGUUGGCAAAAGAACUGGAUGCUGAUCUACUUAUCAUGCUUAGUGAUGUGGAGGGACUCUAUAGUGGUCCACCGAGUGAUCCUCAAUCAAAGAUUAUCCACACCUACAUCAAUGAAAAACACGGGAAGCUAAUUAAUUUUGGGGAGAAGUCUCGUGUGGGAAGAGGUGGAAUGCAAGCUAAGGUGGCAGCUGCUGUUACUGCUGCAUCAAAGGGCGUACCUGCUGUAAUUGCAAGUGGAUUUGUAACAGAUAGCAUUAUUAAGAUUAUGCGAGGAGAGAAAAUUGGUACACUUUUCCAUAAUGAAGCAAAUGUCUGGGAUUGUUCGAAGGAGGUGACAACCCGUGAGAUGGCAGUUGCUGCAAAAGAUUGCUCACGGCAUCUCCAGAAUUUGUCAUCGGAGGAGCGUAAGAAGAUUUUGCUAGAUAUUGCCGGUGCUCUGGAUGCAAACGUGGAUUUAAUUAUAUCCGAGAAUGAAGCUGAUCUAGCUGCGGCACAAGAUUCAGGUUACGAGAAAUCCUUGGUUGCUAGGAUGACCCUGAAGGCAGGAAAGAUAACAAGCCUUGCUGAAUCGAUUCGUGCAAUUGCGGACAUGGAGGACCCUAUCUCACAUACACUGAAAAAAACAGAGGUUGCUAAGGAUUUAGUUUUCGAGAAGAUGUACUGCCCAUUAGGUGUUCUCCUAAUUAUUUUUGAGUCUCGUCCUGAUGCCCUGGUCCAGAUUGCAGCUCUAGCAAUCCGAAGUGGAAACGGCCUUCUUCUGAAAGGAGGAAAAGAAGCUAUGAGAUCAAACACAAUAUUACAUAAGGUCAUAACCAGCGUGAUUCCAGAUGUUGUUGGCAAAAAGCUUAUUGGCCUUGUGAAAAGCAAAGAUGAAAUUGCUGAUCUUCUAAAGCUUGACGAUGUGAUUGAUCUUGUUAUUCCAAGAGGCAGUAACAGGCUUGUUUCUCAAAUCAAAGCACAAACCAAGAUUCCCGUUCUUGGUCAUGCUGAUGGUAUCUGCCAUGUUUAUAUUGAUAAAUCAGCUGACAUGGACAUGGCAAAACGUAUCGUAUUGGAUGCAAAGGUUGAUUAUCCUGCAGCGUGUAAUGCUAUGGAAACACUACUUGUUCAUAAAGAUCUGAACAAGACAGAGGGUCUUGAUGAUUUAUUGAUGGAACUUGCGAAAGAAGGAGUUGUUAUUUAUGGUGGGCCUGUCGCACAUGACACACUGAAAGUACCAAAGGUAGAUUCAUUUCAUCAUGAGUAUAGCUCAAUGGCAUGCACCCUCGAAUUUGUUGAUGAUGUGCAGUCAGCGAUUGACCAUAUCAAUCGUUAUGGAAGUGCACACACAGAUUGUAUUAUCACAACUGAUAAGAAGUCAGCAGAUACUUUUCUACAACAAGUUGACAGUGCUGCUGUGUUCCAUAAUGCAAGCACAAGGUUCUGUGAUGGGACUCGCUUCGGUCUAGGUGCAGAGGUUGGCAUAAGUACAGGGCGCAUACAUGCUCGUGGACCUGUUGGCGUCGACGGUCUUUUAACCACUCGGUGCAUUCUGCGAGGGAGUGGACAAGUAGUGAACGGCGACAAGGGAGUUGUGUACACCCACAAGGAUCUUCCUUUGCAAUGA
RNAcentral lists this ribosomal RNA (2295 nucleotides) under Triticum aestivum (bread wheat). RNAcentral describes it as "partial small subunit ribosomal RNA". The record is from RNAcentral. Lineage: Eukaryota; Viridiplantae; Streptophyta; Magnoliopsida; Poales; Poaceae.